Molecule: ribosomal RNA, 552 nt
Filed under: Yersinia enterocolitica subsp. palearctica YE-149
Lineage: Bacteria; Pseudomonadati; Pseudomonadota; Gammaproteobacteria; Enterobacterales; Yersiniaceae
Description: bacterial LSU rRNA
Rfam family: Bacterial large subunit ribosomal RNA
Source: RNAcentral
GGUUAAGCGACUAAGCGUACACGGUGGAUGCCUAGGCAGUCAGAGGCGAUGAAGGGCGUGCUAAUCUGCGAAAAGCGUCGGUAAGGUGAUAUGAACCGUUAUAACCGACGAUACCCGAAUGGGGAAACCCAGUGCAAUUCGUUGCACUAUUGCAUGGUGAAUACAUAGCCAUGCAAGGCGAACCGGGGGAACUGAAACAUCUAAGUACCCCGAGGAAAAGAAAUCAACCGAGAUUCCCCCAGUAGCGGCGAGCGAACGGGGAGGAGCCCAGAACCUGAAUCAGCGUAUGUGUUAGUGGAAGCGUCUGGAAAGUCGCACGGUACAGGGUGAUAGUCCCGUACACAAAAAUGCAUAUGUUGUGAGUUCGAUGAGUAGGGCGGGACACGUGACAUCCUGUCUGAAUAUGGGGGGACCAUCCUCCAAGGCUAAAUACUCCUGACUGACCGAUAGUGAACCAGUACCGUGAGGGAAAGGCGAAAAGAACCCCGGCGAGGGGAGUGAAACAGAACCUGAAACCGUGUACGUACAAGCAGUGGGAGGACCUUCGUGGUG